RNAcentral lists this ribosomal RNA (253 nucleotides) under uncultured bacterium. Its description in RNAcentral is "partial 16S ribosomal RNA". It matches the Rfam family "Bacterial small subunit ribosomal RNA", at positions 524 to 776 of the family's 1533-position model. The record is from RNAcentral.
UACGGGGGGGGCAAGCGUUGUUCGGAAUUACUGGGCGUAAAGGGCUCGUAGGUCGCCAACUAAGUCAGACGUGAAAUCCCUCGGCUUAACCGGGGAACUGCGUCUGAUACUGGAUGGCUUGAGUUUGGGAGAGGGACGCGGAAUUCCAGGUGUAGCGGUGAAAUGCGUAGAUAUCUGGAGGAACACCUGAGGUGAAGACGGGUUGCUGGGCCGACACUGACGCUGAUGCGCGAAAGCCAGGGGAGCAAACGGG